GCAGUUACAGCAAUUCUCCAUCUGGUUGUGCAGCUUUCCUUGCAAACUACAAUUCUAACUCCUAUGCGAAAGUUGUGUUCAACAAUGAGCAAUACAGCCUCCCACCUUGGUCGAUUAGCAUCCUUUCUGAUUGAAAUAGUGUUAUUUUUAACGGUGCCACAAUAAGGUUCACUUAUGCUUAUUUUCAGUAUGACACAUUCUCCUCUUAUUGCAGUUGUCCCCUUUUGAUGACCUGGUUUACCUGAUUAUAAUUGUUUGUCCCUGGCGCCUUGCAGGUCGGUGUUCAAACAUCUCAGAUGCAAAUGUGGGGAGACAGUGCCUCAUCAAUGACGAGUAGGUUAAUUCUCUGCUAGCGGCACCAUUGCUCACCACAACCGAUUUGCUUGAGCAACUUAAUGUCACUCUCAAGAGGGACCCCCCUUUUCGACCGACACCCUGAAGCACCACACAAGCUUUAGAAAGUCAGAAUUGUACUCCAUAUACCUAAAUUGCCAUGAUAUUAUAUGUUCUUGUAAUUCUAUGUUGAUUUUUUAGAAAUAAUAAAUAUGAUAUUGUAAUGUUUGUUUGACAUCAGUUUAUUUUAUUUGAGUUGACGUAUUUAUAAUAAUAUUAUAUAUUUAUAUUAUCAAUAUAAUAUUAGUGUUACGUUGAUAUCUUGUCACACAGAUUUUACAUAUCAUAUUGAUGUUUGUUGUUUCAUAUCUAUGUUUUACACUAAUUUUUAACUUCCAUGGCAAGUAUGAAUAAUUGAAAUAUUAACGUAGGCCUGAUUGGAUGCCGUCGCAACGCACGGGCACCUAUCUAGUGUAUAGUGUAAGACUGAUCAACAAAUAAUGGUUAUAACUGAACAUUGGUUUUAAUAAGUUUGUCAAAUUUUAUUAGCAAUUACUAAGUACAAGUGUAUACCAACCCAAUAAAAUAAGAGAUCAUUAAUAUAAUAAAACCCACAAUGCAAUGCAUAUGACAAAUUAAGUUUAAUUCCAUAAGUUACUCAUGUGAGGGUCUGAGCUGCUCAUGAUCGUGAGCACGACUGAUAUACCAGUUUUACACUCUGCAGAGGUUGCACAUCUUUAUCCACAAGUCGUGUUACCCAUUUGCCAAGGGAUCACGACUUCCCAUUCAUCUCUAUCGUAGAGACGAGUCAGAGUAGCACUACGUGACCUUUACGAAGUUCCACUAGCUUCAGAAAAUCGCUACGGUUUCUGAGAAGAGCAAUAUAGUAAUCCUCCGUCUGAAAAGCCAUCGCAACAUGAUCAACUUGAGAACCUCCCUAUACCGACAACUCCUCCACCGCCCUUGCCCCUUUUGGGUAAGGUAGUCCUCCACUAGCUUUCCUAAUUAGUCAGCCAAGGGCGUCCCAUACCACCCUUGUGGUAGCACUAUUUUCCUGGAUAGUUCUCCAUGUUCCAGUUAACACAAUAGUCUUAUCAUGAACAGUAAAUAAUUCAAUAACACUAAAUAGCAUGAUCAUGAUUAAUAUGUAUCUUAACACCCAAAAUCACAUAGGUCAAUAGCAUAUACUACCCAAAAGUUCAUUGGUAAGCAAGGUGUAAGGUAACCAAACUAGGGUGACCUAUUUUUAUAUUAAAACUGAAUUUCUAUGCUUAUCUCAUUUUCCUGGGUAAUUUGUGGACGGCGGGCUAUAAUUAUAGAUAAACUAGGGCCUAAUUUGCAAAAUCCAGGACUGAUUUGUAACGGAUCUUAGGCUAUGGCAGAUUGUGGGUUAAAUAGCAAAUUCUUUAGGAUCUCUUAUGCAAAAGUUCUAGGCGAAAGGGGUUUCAACACUUUUCUGGCCGCCCGAUCAAACUCCCACUUAGGAUUAGAUCCGAUCGCAUCCGAACCAGUACCUUAUGUGCAUCGCCCAAUCCGAAUCCAAUGGAUCAGAAUACAUCAAUCCUUACAUGAGCCAAGCAUCAUUAGUGCCCGCACGAUCUAGGAUCUAUGGCUGAAACCGUAUGUAGCGAACGGGUCUCUUCAAUCUAAUCUCAUCCGUUGGUCACGCAUCUGACGGCAAUACCCUUAUCCCUCAUCUCUCCCUCACCGGUCACUCCGAUCACCAUGCCCAGCACUGGCGCGGUGGCUCUUCAUCCAGGGCAUGACUCCUCUCUCUCACAUCUCGGCGGCAGUGUGGCCAUCACGGUAGCAGCCCUGACCGAGUCUGUUCCACUCCUAUUGCUACGCGCCCAACCCCGGAAGCAUCUAUGAGCAGAGAAGAAGGGUACGAAGAAGAGGAAUGGCUCACCGACGGUGACGGCGGGGCGAAACGCUGCUCGGUCCGAGGCCGUAUCUAGUCGUCCCACGAACACCACCGACCUCCCGAGCUCCCCAAACCCGACUCCAAGGAUUGUCGAUGGUGUGAGCUUGGGUUAGCUUCAGGCGACCCGAUGAUUCACUUGGUAGCGACGGCGAUCCUAUGGACUUG
This 2422-nucleotide long non-coding RNA is filed under the name Zea mays. RNAcentral's name for it is "long non-coding RNA (ZMAY_LNC005901)". Lineage: Eukaryota; Viridiplantae; Streptophyta; Magnoliopsida; Poales; Poaceae. The record is from RNAcentral.